GUGCGCAUUUUGGCAGCACAUAUACUAAAUUAGAAUAAUACAGAGAUUAGCAUGGCCCCAGUGAAAGGAAGCAGGAAAAUCUAUGUAAUAUCCAUAUUUUU
This 101-nucleotide small nuclear RNA is filed under the name Rhinolophus ferrumequinum (greater horseshoe bat). The record is from RNAcentral. Lineage: Eukaryota; Metazoa; Chordata; Mammalia; Chiroptera; Rhinolophidae.